Molecule: ribosomal RNA, 427 nt
Filed under: uncultured bacterium
Lineage: Bacteria
Description: partial 16S ribosomal RNA
Rfam family: Bacterial small subunit ribosomal RNA
Source: RNAcentral
UGGGGAAUAUUGGACAAUGGGCGAAAGCCUGAUCCAGCCAUGCCGCGUGUGUGAAGAAGGUCUUCGGAUUGUAAAGCACUUUAAGUUGGGAGGAAGGGCAUUAACCUAAUACGUUAGUGUUUUGACGUUACCGACAGAAUAAGCACCGGCUAACUCUGUGCCAGCAGCCGCGGUAAUACAGAGGGUGCAAGCGUUAAUCGGAAUUACUGGGCGUAAAGCGCGCGUAGGUGGUUUGUUAAGUUGGAUGUGAAAUCCCCGGGCUCAACCUGGGAACUGCAUUCAAAACUGACUGACUAGAGUAUGGUAGAGGGUGGUGGAAUUUCCUGUGUAGCGGUGAAUUGCGUAGAUAUAGGAAGGAACACCAGUGGCGAAGGCGACCACCUGGACUAAUACUGACACUGAGGUGCGAAAGCGUGGGGAGCAAACA